Molecule: long non-coding RNA, 1275 nt
Filed under: Olea europaea subsp. europaea
Lineage: Eukaryota; Viridiplantae; Streptophyta; Magnoliopsida; Lamiales; Oleaceae
Source: RNAcentral
AGGUUAAGAAAACGAUUGUAUAGCUCUGUGGAGAAACGUUGAUAAGACCUUAAGGAUUUAAAAAUCCUUUGUCAUCAAUCAAAUCUAUGGCUUCCAUACAUAUCUUUGCACUUCUCAGUAAAUAAUUUAUCAAAAUGUCAUGCUCUAAGUGCCAACUCCCUAUCUCCUCCUCGGCAGCCCUGACCACCUGCCUGGGAAGGAAUUGAAGCCUGAGUUUAAUCCUGGGUAAUCAAAUAAACCGAGGACGACAUCUGGCCAUGUCAGCAUGUUUGAGCUCUUUUAUAAGUCUUCACUUGAUUUCCAGAUGUUUCUAAGUGAAUGUAAGAUUUCUGUGUAUGACAUUCUCUUUCUGAUUGCAGGACUAUCGGAACUUCAUAAGCUACAUCUGCAAGGCAUACCAUGGAACUUCUGUGCCCUCUGCUUGUAGCGAAUAUUCAGUUGGAGGCAUUCCGGCGUCUCUGCUAUACAGAACAAACAACCUAGUGAAAGUUAUCUCGCAGAAUAUUGGAUAUAACAUCAUGUGAUAAAAUAUAUUUGGUUGCUUCAAUCAUAAAAGUAUUUGGUUUCUAUGCUUUCUAAGUUAGUUUUCCUUGUUCGCAGAUAUAUGUAAUAGUAAGGCGAAACUGGUUUUAUUAAGGUUUUCAGCUGGUUCUUUGAGACACUAGGUCACUUGUAUUAACACAUUGUAAUAAGUGUACUUUGUCGUGAAAAGGAGUUGAGCGUGCCUCUCAAGGCUGUCAUUUCUGUAGUCAAAAUCAUUUUUCUUCAGACGUGAAAUUUUUCAAUAAAUGGAUUCAAAAACUUGUUCAAAAAGGUUAAAUCUCAACCUUGAGGGCCUCUAUCGCCUCACCCCUGGAGAAUCGUGAGGGAGGCAAAUUGCGGAAUGUGUUUCAACAGGUCAGAGAACAAGAAUUUGUCCGUACACUGGUGCUCACAAAUAGUCCAAUUUCAUAUCUCAGAAAUCGAACCCUCACACUGCGAUUGCUAGUAAGGUUGAGACUACCUCACUCCUAUUUUUUGCACCAUUGGGCUAUAUUCCGAGGGGCAAGAUUCAAAAACUUGUUCGCUCUUAUAGUAUGUCUUUAAAAAAUUUUAACUUGUUACUAGAGCACAAGCUUUUUUAUAUGUUAGAGGAGAGUUGUAUUUUAUAUAUAUUUAUGUGUUCGAGGAAAGUUGUAUUUACUUUGUAUUAUUUUAAUCGAUAAUAGAUUUCGGACAAGUGACUCUUAAGGCUUUAUUUGUAUAUCAUCGUACCACAUUAUUUUUCUUACAGUA